GGCUCCAACCUCAACGCCUUCUGUCGCACCCUACACCUCCAUCAAACUUGUGUGUUUCCUUUUCCGGGAAACGCACUCUGCUGGACGUGAACAAGCAGCUGAUCCAUCUGCUGGGGGAUGAACUGGAAGACCUUGUUUGCAUUAGCAUGAUGUAGCAAACUGCCAAGUAGCCUCGGAGGAAACAUGCUUUACAUUCAUAUACAUACCUGUCCUUGACCCCAGAAAACAACAUCAAACACCUUCAAGUUAUUCUUGGGGACGUUUUAUUCUUCUGAUCCUCUGGAUUCAUGUUUUUGUUAACCCUCGCUCGGGCUUUUAUCUAUCUCUUGCCAACCUGGGCCUACAUUAACAGAAAUAUUUUCCCAUCGGUGGGCAACAAUGUUUUCAUAUUUUAUUCAGUCCCAUCCUUUUGCUACCUUUCUUGUCUAGUUUUGUUUAAAAAAAUACUAGUUUUUUCCGUCUUGUAAUAGUUUUGCAGAAAAAUAUAUCCAAAUAAUUCAAAUCAGAUUCUUAAUCCGCCUUCUCCAAUUUAUAAUCGUAAUAGCCUGUGAGUAUGCUAUGGGGGAAGGAAAGAAUGCUGUAGCCUUUAUUCUUAAAGUUCUCUAACUUUGAUAUUUUCAGUAAAUCCCUGGAGGUAUCUCUGCACUUUCUGCGUUAGUAUCUAAUGUUUCUCCCCCCAUUGACCAAUCACAAGUAAAAUGCUAGGACAGCCGUUUAUUCUACAACGAUCGCAGUGGGUUUCCUUGGGUGAGUAGGGCAUAUUGAGGUUUAAACCUCCAGGAUGCUGUUUAUAAAGCCACCACCUCAUUCCCUAAUGCCCUCCAAAAUGAGCACCUAUCCAUCUCACUCUGCACUCCCAACAGGUCAAACCAGGAAGACUUCGUUGAAAUAGACGUGGCAUUUAAAUUAAAAUGUUUCCCAAAGCAUCUUGGCAGACCUGUAACUGAUGAUGCCAGAAGCCCAAGGCCUGUGCCAGAUUUCUUUCUAUCCCCAUAAGUGCUUGUCACCCACAAGCCGCUGGUCACACGCCUGCUGAUGUUAUAGCUGUACUUCUUCAUCACACAAACAGCCAAACUGGAUAAAAAUGCUGACCUGCCUCCCAACCUACCUCCCAGGAUGGACGCAGACCAACAUUUGCAAGCGUUGAAGAACAGUAUGGAUGUUGAUCGAAAAGGCAGCAACUUGAACAGAAUGGAUGCUGACUGAAAAGGCAGUAUGGAUGCUGAUUGAAAGUGCAUCUCACAAGUUGACAAUUCUGAAGAAAAAGAAACAUGAAACAAUGAGAAGACAAAAUCUAAAUUGUGACCUCAUCAAGAAGAAAGCAAUCCAGCAACCAAAGACUGUGAUGGGGAAAACCAUUUACAAAUCCAGAAAGGGACACAUAGGCUUGGAGAAUUCUCCCAGCACCUUUUCCUGAGGUCACCUUACAAAGAGACAAAGAACACCUCAGAGGACACCAAUAAGCACUGCCAUCUUGGCGUGGCUUCAGCAGCUCAGUGGAGAGUCAGUAAGCAUUUAUUAUACACUCUAGGCUCUAUUUCAAGAGCUUAUCAAGCCUCACUUAACCUUCACACAAACCCUGAUAAAUAGCACUGCUACUUUCUCCAUUUUAUAGAUGAGAGGACUGAGGCUCAGGGAAGUGAAGCAGCUUGCCCAAGGCAAAAUCACAAGAAAAAACAAGUCAACCUCAAAUCCAAGCCUUCUGGCACUUUACUGUGCAUUUUAACCCUGUCCUUACUUGUGGCCUGGAGCCCUGGUGGCACAGUGAUUAAGAGCUAUGGCUACUGAAAACUAUAAAGUUCAUAAGAAGAAAAAAUACGAUCAACGCUAGAGGCCCUAAUACACGGCAUUA
Molecule: long non-coding RNA, 1852 nt
Organism: Trichechus manatus latirostris (Florida manatee)
Lineage: Eukaryota; Metazoa; Chordata; Mammalia; Sirenia; Trichechidae
Exons: 4
Source: RefSeq, a predicted model, not a curated record